CCAGAGGCAAGUACUGUUGAUAACAUACCAUCAUUUCCUGGAUCUUCCCGUAUUACUAGUACGAGAAUGUUGCAAGCCACAUUGGUGGUGAGCGACGAAGAAUUGAUUCCCUUGAAGAUACAGAAGGUUCCAGGAAAUGAUAUUUUUUAUAAAAAUCUUAAUGACAUUUCAUUGCAGAUAUUUGGGCCCACCAUACAUAAAAGGUGGAAUGACCAAGAAAAAAAGUUAAAAGAUGAACUCACAAACCGUAUGAUAGGGUUGUUUGGAAAUGACACAUUCGACAAGACUAAGCUCC
This is a long non-coding RNA of Cryptomeria japonica (Japanese cedar), 295 nucleotides long. RefSeq lists it as uncharacterized. The record is from RefSeq and is a predicted model, not a curated record. NCBI's taxonomy places the organism in Eukaryota, Viridiplantae, Streptophyta, Pinopsida, Cupressales, Cupressaceae. The transcript has 3 exons.